RNAcentral lists this ribosomal RNA (310 nucleotides) under uncultured Citrobacter sp. RNAcentral describes it as "bacterial SSU rRNA". It matches the Rfam family "Bacterial small subunit ribosomal RNA", at positions 355 to 655 of the family's 1533-position model. The record is from RNAcentral. Lineage: Bacteria; Pseudomonadati; Pseudomonadota; Gammaproteobacteria; Enterobacterales; Enterobacteriaceae.
UGGGGAAGUAUUGCACAAUGGGCGGCAAGCCUGAUGCAGCCAUGCCGCGUGUAUGAAGAAGGCCUUCGGGUUGUAAAGUACUUUCAGCGAGGAGGAAGGUGUUGUGGUUAAUAACCACAGCAAUUGACGUUACUCGCAGAAGAAGCACCGGCUAACUCCGUGCCAGCAGCCGCGGUAAUACGGAGGGUGCAAGCGUUAAUCGGAAUUACUGGGCGUAAAGCGCACGCAGGCGGUCUGUCAAGUCGGAUGUGAAAUCCCCGGGCUCAACCUGGGAACUGCAUCCGAAACUGGCAGGCUAGAGUCUUGUAGA